GGAAAGAGGAUGAGAAGAGGAAGAUGAGAGCUGGGUUGCAGUGUGAGCCUGCUUCGCCCAGCCCCACAAUCCCUGCUAAGGGUAAGGAAGUCUCACCCCCCAGGCCCCACCUGCGGGAACAAGGUGUACUCCAAGUAUGUGACAAGAGAACUUCAGAAAUUCAAACCAUUCCUCAUCCAGAUUUCCACAGCUGGAAUUUGCCCUGCCAACUCAUUGCCAUGUUUCAGCAGAGAGAUGGGGGAUGUCAGUGUUCUCGUUUCCCAUUCAAACCACAUACUCGAUGGCAAGCAAGAUGAAUGGGCCUGGGAGUUUCCUGGGGAGAAGAGAAGAGACAGAAAAGGAGAAAGAAGAUCCUUCUUCAUUUUGUCCUCUUCCAGCCAGCAUGGCUUCACAUGGCUGCCUCCCUCAUCAUCCAAUACUGAACCCACUAUCCCCUGGACCACUUCAGCAGCUGACUGGGGACCUACAAGUUCCUGAGCCUCUGUAAACUGUUUCCUAUUUGGUGACUGGGGAGAAGAUCAGUACAUGGCUGUUCAUGAUGAGUUGUGGCCAACACUUCUUCCAAAUGGGGCUCUUCUCCUUGUAUUCCUCGGCCAGAGAAUGCAAAGGCAUGCUCAGCUCUCAAAAGGUUUGCAUUUCUAGAACUGAAAGUAAAAGCUGACCACCUUGCCUUCUUCCCAAGAGACUCCAAAGAGCCGCUCUUCACAUGGACUUGGCC
Molecule: non-coding RNA, 718 nt
Organism: Odocoileus virginianus texanus
Lineage: Eukaryota; Metazoa; Chordata; Mammalia; Artiodactyla; Cervidae
Source: RefSeq, a predicted model, not a curated record